GCGGCUGUGGUCUAGCGGUUAGGACAUUGGCCUUCCAAGCCAAUUGCACGGGUUCAAAUCCCGUCAGCCGCA
RNAcentral lists this transfer RNA (72 nucleotides) under Methanobacteriota archaeon. Its description in RNAcentral is "Euryarchaeota archaeon (marine metagenome) tRNA-Gly". It matches the Rfam family "tRNA". Rfam says of the family: Transfer RNA (tRNA) molecules are approximately 80 nucleotides in length. Their secondary structure includes four short double-helical elements and three loops (D, anti-codon, and T loops). Lineage: Archaea; Methanobacteriati; Methanobacteriota. RNAcentral also lists the same sequence under 1 other name. The record is from RNAcentral.